This 498-nucleotide ribosomal RNA is filed under the name uncultured bacterium. RNAcentral's name for it is "partial 16S ribosomal RNA". It matches the Rfam family "Bacterial small subunit ribosomal RNA", at positions 29 to 523 of the family's 1533-position model. The record is from RNAcentral.
AUUGAACGCUGGCGGCAUGCCUUACACAUGCAAGUCGAACGGUAACGCGGGGCAACCUGGCGACGAGUGGCGAACGGGUGAGUAACGCAUCGGAACGUGCCCAGUAGUGGGGGAUAGCCCGGCGAAAGCCGGAUUAAUACCGCAUACGACCUACGGGUGAAAGAGGGGGAUCGCAAGACCUCUCGCUAUUGGAGCGGCCGAUGUCAGAUUAGGUAGUUGGUGGGGUAAAGGCCUACCAAGCCUACGAUCUGUAGCUGGUCUGAGAGGACGACCAGCCACACUGGGACUGAGACACGGCCCAGACUCCUACGGGAGGAAGCAGUGGGGAAUUUUGGACAAUGGGCGCAAGCCUGAUCCAGCCAUGCCGCGUGCGGGAAGAAGGCCUUCGGGUUGUAAACCGCUUUUGUCAGGGAAGAAACGCUCUGGACUAAUACUCUGGGGUAAUGACGGUACCUGAAGAAUAAGCACCGGCUAACUACGUGCCAGCAGCCGCCGUAA